This 450-nucleotide ribosomal RNA is filed under the name uncultured bacterium. Its description in RNAcentral is "bacterial SSU rRNA". It matches the Rfam family "Bacterial small subunit ribosomal RNA", at positions 354 to 796 of the family's 1533-position model. The record is from RNAcentral.
GUGGGGAAUUUUGGACAAUGGGCGCAAGCCUGAUCCAGCAAUGCCGCGUGCAGGAAGAAGGCCUUCGGGUUGUAAACUGCUUUUGUACGGAACGAAACGGUCCGGGUUAAUACCCUGGGCUAAUGACGGUACCGUAAGAAUAAGCACCGGCUAACUACGUGCCAGCAGCCGCGGUAAUACGUAGGGUGCAAGCGUUAAUCGGAAUUACUGGGCGUAAAGCGUGCGCAGGCGGUUUUGUAAGACAGACGUGAAAUCCCCGGGCUCAACCUGGGAAUUGCGCUUGUGACUGCAAGGCUGGAGUGCGGCAGAGGGGGAUGGAAUUCCGCGUGUAGCAGUGAAAUGCGUAGAUAUGCGGAGGAACACCGAUGGCGAAGGCAAUCCCCUGGGCCUGCACUGACGCUCAUGCACGAAAGCGUGGGGAGCAAACAGGAUUAGAUACCCCUGUAGUCC